This 465-nucleotide ribosomal RNA is filed under the name uncultured bacterium. RNAcentral describes it as "partial 16S ribosomal RNA". It matches the Rfam family "Bacterial small subunit ribosomal RNA", at positions 338 to 795 of the family's 1533-position model. The record is from RNAcentral.
CCUACGGGAGGCAGCAGUGGGGAAUAUUGCGCAAUGGGCGAAAGCCUGACGCAGCGACGCCGCGUGAGGGAUGAAGGUCUUCGGAUCGUAAACCUCUGUCAGCAGGGAAGAACGGUCACUGUGCUAAUCAGCAGUGAAUUGACGGUACCUGCAAAGGACGCACCGGCUAACUCCGUGCCAGCAGCCGCGGUAAUACGGAGGGUGCGAGCGUUAAUCGGAAUUACUGGGCGUAAAGCGCUCGUAGGCGGUAUGUCAAGUCAAGGGUGAAAUCCCCGCGCUCAACGUGGGAACUGCCUUUGAAACUGGCAGACUGGAGUGUGUGAGAGGUUAGUGGAAUUCCAGGUGUAGGGGUGAAAUCCGUAGAUAUCUGGAGGAACAUCAGUGGCGAAGGCGACUAUCUGGCACAUAACUGACGCUGAGGAGCGAAAGCGUGGGUAGCAAACAGGAUUAGAUACCCUAGUAGUC